AAAAUAUAUAUGCCUUGUUUCCUAUUUUCCCUUGUUGUGGCCGAAAUAUUGAGAGGAAAAAGGGAGAAAAAUAUUUCAUCUUCUUCGUCCAUUAAAGCUUGCUUCCAUAGCCAAAGUUUCUUCACAACUCGCCAAAUAUUCGAAGAACCAAAAGAAGUAGAAGAGUGAGCAUCUAAAGGAAAUCAGUGAGAUUUCAAGAAGAUAAGGUGAUGGUGUAGUCUAAGCCGUGAGCGCGAUUAGAGAUAGCUCGGUGUCAAGACCAGCUUAGACUAGUUUGUGUUUAGAUUUCCCUUUUGGGCCUAUGUGCCUAGUAUGAUGUUGAACUUGGAUUAGUUUCGUUAUGAUGCUUGGAUUGGGUUUAGUUUUGGUUGGCCUGAACAUCUAGGCUGUGUUUUCUUACCUAGAUGUGGCAUGACACCCCUUAGGUUAUAAAUCGCUUCCGCUAUAUUUGUGAAAGUUUGGGGUGUCACAAUAAUGCUAUAUAUUUAUUUACCAAGUAUUUUAUUAAUACUAUGAAAAAAAAAUUUUAAAAUAAUUUGAAGCUAA
This is a long non-coding RNA of Ipomoea triloba (trilobed morning glory), 546 nucleotides long. RefSeq lists it as uncharacterized. The transcript has 3 exons. The record is from RefSeq and is a predicted model, not a curated record. NCBI's taxonomy places the organism in Eukaryota, Viridiplantae, Streptophyta, Magnoliopsida, Solanales, Convolvulaceae.